Molecule: long non-coding RNA, 516 nt
Filed under: Fragaria vesca (wild strawberry)
Lineage: Eukaryota; Viridiplantae; Streptophyta; Magnoliopsida; Rosales; Rosaceae
Description: long non-coding RNA (FVES_LNC005565)
Source: RNAcentral
CAUAUACAUACCGAACCACCUCCCUCUCCACACCUACUGCUUCGAGAACAUCUCCCAGUUCCAUGACCGCCCUUGCCUCAUCAACGGCAACACCGGCCAGACUUUCACCUACGCCGACGUCGAGCUCACCUCCCGCCGUGUCGCCGCCGGUCUCGACAAGCUCGGCAUUCAGCAAGGCGACGUCGUCAUGCUCCUCCUCCAAAACUGCCCCGAGUUCGCCUUCGCGUUCCUCGGCGCCUCCUACAUCGGAGCCAUCAUCACCACCGCGAACCCUUUCUACACUCCGGCCGAGGUCGCCAAACAAGCCACCGCCUCAAAAGCCAAGCUCAUCAUAACUCAAACAGCCUACGUCGAAAAGGUGAAGGACUUUGCCAAACUCAACAACGUGAAAGUCAUGUCCGUGGACGAGGCUUCCUCGUGUGAUAAGGAUGUGUUGCAUUUCUCCGAGCUGACGUCGGCUGACGAGAGCGACAUCCCGGCGGUGAAGAUCAACCCUGACGACGUGGUGGCGCUGCC